RNAcentral lists this ribosomal RNA (254 nucleotides) under uncultured bacterium. Its description in RNAcentral is "partial 16S ribosomal RNA". It matches the Rfam family "Bacterial small subunit ribosomal RNA", at positions 524 to 776 of the family's 1533-position model. The record is from RNAcentral.
UACGUAGGGUGCAAGCGUUGUCCGGAAUUAUUGGGCGUAAAGGGCUCGUAGGCGGUUUGUCGCGUCGGGAGUGAAAUCCACUGGCUUAACUGGUGGCUUGCUUUCGAUACGGGCAGACUGGAGGUAUGCAGGGGAGAAUGGAAUUCCUGGUGUAGCGGUGAAAUGCGCAGAUAUCAGGAGGAAUCACCGGUGGCGAAGGCGGUUCUCUGGGCAUUACCUGACGCUGAGGAGCGAAAGCGUGGGGAGCGAACAGG